UAGGGAAUCUUCCACAAUGGACGCAAGUCUGAUGGAGCAACGCCGCGCGAGUGAAGAAGGUUUUCGGAUCGUAAAGCUCUGUUGUUGGUGAAGAAGGAUAGAGGCAGUAACUGGUCUUUAUUUGACGGUAAUCAACCAGAAAGUCACGGCUAACUACGUGCCAGCAGCCGCGGUAAUACGUAGGUGGCAAGCGUUGUCCGGAUUUAUUGGGCGUAAAGCGAGCGCAGGCGGAAUGAUAAGUCUGAUGUGAAAGCCCACGGCUCAACCGUGGAACUGCAUCGGAAACUGUCAUUCUUGAGUGCAGAAGAGGAGAGUGGAACUCCAUGUGUAGCGGUGGAAUGCGUAGAUAUAUGGAAGAACACCAGUGGCGAAGGCGGCUCUCUGGUCUGCAACUGACGCUGAGGCUCGAAAGCAUGGGUAGCGAACAGGAUUAGAUACCCUGGUAGUCCAUGCCGUAAACGAUGAGCGCUAG
RNAcentral lists this ribosomal RNA (472 nucleotides) under uncultured bacterium. RNAcentral describes it as "partial 16S ribosomal RNA". It matches the Rfam family "Bacterial small subunit ribosomal RNA", at positions 355 to 819 of the family's 1533-position model. The record is from RNAcentral.